UAUGUGAUCGUCUCUUGCAUAUCAAUAAGCGGAGGAAAAGAAACUAACAAGGAUUCCCCUAGUAACGGCGAGUGAAGCGGGAAGAGCUCAAAUUUGAAAUCUUAAAGGGUUUCCCUUUACGAAUUGUAGUUUAAAGAAGUGUUUUCUGUUGAGGUUUUGGUAAAAGUUCUUUGGAAUAGGACAUCAUAGAGGGUGAGAAUCCCGUAUUUGACCUUUACUUUCAACUUUGUGACACACUUUCAAAGAGUCGGAUUGUUUGGGAAUGCAGUCCAAAAUGGGUGGUAAAUUUCAUCUAAAGCUAAAUAUUGGCGAGAGACCGAUAGCGAACAAGUACCGUGAGGGAAAGAUGAAAAGAACUUUGAAAAGAGAGUUAAACAGUACGUGAAAUUGUCAAAAGGGAAGCGUUUGACACCAGUGUUGUUUUUCUGAAAAUCAAUUAAAGAACUGUUUAUGCUAAGCUGUUUAGACUUUAUCAGCUAAUCUGUUUAGUUUUGAGCUUUUCUUUAAUGCACUUUUCAGUUAACAAGUCAACAUCAAUUUCUUUUGCUGUAAAAAAGCUUGAGGAAGGUGGCUUGAGAUUCGUCUUAAGUGUUUAUAGCCUCUUGCCUAUGCAGUCGGAGAGAUUGAGGUCUGCAGCGUAGAUCCUUCGGGGCUAAAUGCAUUUGUGCUAAGUUAUAGCAUUUUAUAGACAACUUGUUGACUAUGAUUUGUCUUGUAGCUUACUCGCUUAUGUUAUUUUACCUACGCUUAGGAUGUUGACACACGCGCGUGCUCG
RNAcentral lists this ribosomal RNA (775 nucleotides) under uncultured Neocallimastigales. RNAcentral's name for it is "partial large subunit ribosomal RNA". It matches the Rfam family "Eukaryotic large subunit ribosomal RNA", at positions 23 to 643 of the family's 3401-position model. Lineage: Eukaryota; Fungi; Neocallimastigomycota; Neocallimastigomycetes; Neocallimastigales. The record is from RNAcentral.